Molecule: ribosomal RNA, 253 nt
Filed under: uncultured Gemmatimonas sp.
Lineage: Bacteria; Pseudomonadati; Gemmatimonadota; Gemmatimonadia; Gemmatimonadales; Gemmatimonadaceae
Description: partial 16S ribosomal RNA
Rfam family: Bacterial small subunit ribosomal RNA
Source: RNAcentral
UACGGGGGGUGCGAGCGUUGUCCGGAAUCACUGGGCGUAAAGGGCGCGUAGGUGGUCUGGUAAGUUUGUGGUGAAAGCCCGGGGCUCAACCCCGGGUCUGCCGCGAAGACUGCUGGACUCGAGUGCUGUAGGGGCUGGUAGAAUGCCGGGUGUAGCGGUGGAAUGCGUAGAGAUCCGGCGGAAGACCGGUGGCGAAGGCGGCCAGCUGGGCAGUGACUGACACUGAGGCGCGACAGCGUGGGGAGCAAACAGG